This 17688-nucleotide long non-coding RNA is filed under the name Capsicum annuum. RNAcentral describes it as "long non-coding RNA (CANN_LNC007218)". Lineage: Eukaryota; Viridiplantae; Streptophyta; Magnoliopsida; Solanales; Solanaceae. The record is from RNAcentral.
UGGACUUCGAGGCAAAUUUAUGCAAAGGAAAAAUGAAAAAAAAAAUUAAUACUCAUUCAACCAAUCACACUGAGAUAUAGAAUAAUUCACAAAUUUGGAAGCGAAACACAUACUAACCAAGGAUAUUCUUUAAUUAAAAGGAUAUGAGUCAAUAUUAAUUUGAAAUUGGCUACUCUAACUAGCUAUUAAACACUUAAAACAAUUAAUGAAAACAGAAAGACAUGCAUAACUUGGGAUUUGCUCCCACUCAAAGCAUUCUUUUAAAAUAGCAAAUCAGAGAGUCAAAAUCUUUUCAUUGUGGUUCAAAGAGUUGUAAUUUGUCAGAACAUAAUCCCUGUUUGGAGUUAUUUUCAAACGACCCAAUUCAUUCAAUCAUCAAGGAGGCUAAACUAGUUAUCAAGGCCUAUUAUUUACACUAGGAGAUUAGGUGUCCUUUUUAAAGAACUCAAACGAAAUAGGGAACUAACCGAACAAACAAAAUGACUAAAGGGAAAAUGUCAUAAGAAUGUAACCAUGGUUUGUUUGAUAAAAUUAGAAAGACCCGCAACAUACUAUUAAGGCUCAUUAUCCACACAAUGAUUCAACCUCCAACUUAACCAUUUUUUUUAAAAAAAGAAGGAAGACAUGGAGGAAAAUAGGGGAAAGAUUAAACUGGGAAUACAUAAAACAGAUAAAGAAAACAAUCUGGAAAUGGCAACAAUUUGAAUGAAAUCAAAACAGAAAACAAAAUUCCCAAUGAUGUAUUCCACCUAAACAAAGCACGUGAAUAUCAACACUUCUCCUUACUCUAUAGUAUCUUAAAUAAGAACAUGAUCAACAAGCAAAAAUCAUAAGUAUACCACAAUACAGAAUUUCUGUAAAGAAAAUGGUCCGCUAAACUACUCAGCUGGAUGAUAAUCGAUUAGGAAAACAAAAAAAAUAGCAAACCACCAAAUAAGACAAUUAAGCUUUUUGAAAAACAAUGUUCUCAGGGACCUUUACAUCGCUCAUCAUGAAAAAAAUCAAAUUCUAAUUAUUUUUCCAGAAUCUCAUACAAAAGACCAAACUAGUGAAAACGAUUUACAUAGGCUCUCAUUUUUCGGGUGGAAGCAGAAAGUUCAUCAGGGCUUAUCAUGAAUUCUUUUUGCACAAGAGGAAGGGUAAAACAAAAGCACCUACUAUAAUUUUCAAGUAUAAGCGAUCAAGUUUAAAACUAAUGGGCACCUUGCAGUAGAAUCUUGCCCUUUUCUCUAAUGAUUUACAGGAAUAAAAUAAUUCAGUAACCCUUUUUAGAACAGGAUAUUAGCAAAAUUUUUAGGCUAACAGCUCAUCAUAUAACCAAAAUAGCAUACACGAAGCCGAAUUCGAAGGAAAUUUUCAUCAAACAUCAUAUAAACAAGAGGCAAGUGCGUUCCCAGGCAAAUUAUAUAAAAAAAUUAGAAGUUUCGAAAAUCGACGUGUCCUAAAUGCAGAAACAACAAUAAAGUCUAAAAGCUCAAAAUUUAUCAUGUGAAACCUGGGGCUUUCAUAGUCUCCAUAGCGAGCAACUCUCAGCACUCAAGAUUAUAAAAAUACAACUACAAACAAGGUAACAAGAGGAUGAAAAUUGUUAAGUGAGAAUUAAAAUAUGAUCUUUAACCAUGAACCAGUGAUUCAAACAACAGACAAUCCACAAGAUGAUAUAUUAGGUUAAAAAUUAAUCAGUAACGCUGAGAGUAGAUGACCAAUUACGAAAUCGAGAUAUAAAGACGACUAAAACCACAUGUCAUACAAUCAGCACAGGAAUUCAUCCUAACAUAGCACUACAACCAACAUUGUCUUUCACUAAAAUGGCCACCUAUGGUCUUGAAAACCUCUACAGCAGACAACCCAGCAUACAAGAUCUUUGGAAUAACACUUAUGACUAUAGAAUAAAGAGAUGGAGUAGAAUACAAUCGAAAUUAAAUAAAAACAGAAUGUUACCUAUUCAUGAGAUGCAAAAUAGAACCUUGAGCUAACGUCGGACUCACAACCACUGGAAAAUAUCUUUACCGUUAACUCGAAUUUCUAAUUUAGCCGACGAACUUGCGGAAAAGCAAAAUUUCUACUAAAGAUUGAAUUUUCUCUGAGAGUUUCUUUUUUUUUCUUUUUCUCCCUUAGUUUUUUCUGAACCAAAAUCUCUAACCCCUAACCAGCUUCAUCGUGGGCUCUUAUAUCGAGGACCCCUCGAUUAAGACCGAAUUUUGAGGGUUAAAAAUGGGAUAUUUUUGAAAUUUAAAAUUCCCAUCCCCUUCCGCGGUUUUCAUCCCUAAAUUUGUACCAAUUUUUGGAUUUUCCUUGGAUAAUCCAUUUGGACUUCGAGGGAAAUUUAUGCAAAGGAAAAAUGAAAAAAAAAAUUAAUACUCAUUCAACCAAUCACACUGAGAUAUAGAAUAAUUCACAAAUUUGGAAGCGAAACACAUACUAACCAAGGAUAUUCUUUAAUUAAAAGGAUAUGAGUCAAUAUUAAUUUGAAAUUGGCUACUCUAACUAGCUAUUAAACACUUAAAACAAUUAAUGAAAACAGAAAGACAUGCAUAACUUGGGAUUUGCUCCCACUCAAAGCAUUCUUUUAAAAUAGCAAAUCAGAGAGUCAAAAUCUUUUCAUUGUGGUUCAAAGAGUUGUAAUUUGUCAGAACAUAAUCCCUGUUUGGAGUUAUUUUCAAACGACCCAAUUCAUUCAAUCAUCAAGGAGGCUAAACUAGUUAUCAAGGCCUAUUAUUUACACUAGGAGAUUAGGUGUCCUUUUUAAAGAACUCAAACGAAAUAGGGAACUAACCGAACAAACAAAAUGACUAAAGGGAAAAUGUCAUAAGAAUGUAACCAUGGUUUGUUUGAUAAAAUUAGAAAGACCCGCAACAUACUAUUAAGGCUCAUUAUCCACACAAUGAUUCAACCUCCAACUUAACCAUUUUUUUUAAAAAAAGAAGGAAGACAUGGAGGAAAAUAGGGGAAAGAUUAAACUGGGAAUACAUAAAACAGAUAAAGAAAACAAUCUGGAAAUGGCAACAAUUUGAAUGAAAUCAAAACAGAAAACAAAAUUCCCAAUGAUGUAUUCCACCUAAACAAAGCACGUGAAUAUCAACACUUCUCCUUACUCUAUAGUAUCUUAAAUAAGAACAUGAUCAACAAGCAAAAAUCAUAAGUAUACCACAAUACAGAAUUUCUGUAAAGAAAAUGGUCCGCUAAACUACUCAGCUGGAUGAUAAUCGAUUAGGAAAACAAAAAAAAUAGCAAACCACCAAAUAAGACAAUUAAGCUUUUUGAAAAACAAUGUUCUCAGGGACCUUUACAUCGCUCAUCAUGAAAAAAAUCAAAUUCUAAUUAUUUUUCCAGAAUCUCAUACAAAAGACCAAACUAGUGAAAACGAUUUACAUAGGCUCUCAUUUUUCGGGUGGAAGCAGAAAGUUCAUCAGGGCUUAUCAUGAAUUCUUUUUGCACAAGAGGAAGGGUAAAACAAAAGCACCUACUAUAAUUUUCAAGUAUAAGCGAUCAAGUUUAAAACUAAUGGGCACCUUGCAGUAGAAUCUUGCCCUUUUCUCUAAUGAUUUACAGGAAUAAAAUAAUUCAGUAACCCUUUUUAGAACAGGAUAUUAGCAAAAUUUUUAGGCUAACAGCUCAUCAUAUAACCAAAAUAGCAUACACGAAGCCGAAUUCGAAGGAAAUUUUCAUCAAACAUCAUAUAAACAAGAGGCAAGUGCGUUCCCAGGCAAAUUAUAUAAAAAAAUUAGAAGUUUCGAAAAUCGACGUGUCCUAAAUGCAGAAACAACAAUAAAGUCUAAAAGCUCAAAAUUUAUCAUGUGAAACCUGGGGCUUUCAUAGUCUCCAUAGCGAGCAACUCUCAGCACUCAAGAUUAUAAAAAUACAACUACAAACAAGGUAACAAGAGGAUGAAAAUUGUUAAGUGAGAAUUAAAAUAUGAUCUUUAACCAUGAACCAGUGAUUCAAACAACAGACAAUCCACAAGAUGAUAUAUUAGGUUAAAAAUUAAUCAGUAACGCUGAGAGUAGAUGACCAAUUACGAAAUCGAGAUAUAAAGACGACUAAAACCACAUGUCAUACAAUCAGCACAGGAAUUCAUCCUAACAUAGCACUACAACCAACAUUGUCUUUCACUAAAAUGGCCACCUAUGGUCUUGAAAACCUCUACAGCAGACAACCCAGCAUACAAGAUCUUUGGAAUAACACUUAUGACUAUAGAAUAAAGAGAUGGAGUAGAAUACAAUCGAAAUUAAAUAAAAACAGAAUGUUACCUAUUCAUGAGAUGCAAAAUAGAACCUUGAGCUAACGUCGGACUCACAACCACUGGAAAAUAUCUUUACCGUUAACUCGAAUUUCUAAUUUAGCCGACGAACUUGCGGAAAAGCAAAAUUUCUACUAAAGAUUGAAUUUUCUCUGAGAGUUUCUUUUUUUUUCUUUUUCUCCCUUAGUUUUUUCUGAACCAAAAUCUCUAACCCCUAACCAGCUUCAUCGUGGGCUCUUAUAUCGAGGACCCCUCGAUUAAGACCGAAUUUUGAGGGUUAAAAAUGGGAUAUUUUUGAAAUUUAAAAUUCCCAUCCCCUUCCGCGGUUUUCAUCCCUAAAUUUGUACCAAUUUUUGGAUUUUCCUUGGAUAAUUUGGGAUGGGUGGACCAACCAAAAUUGGGGAAAAUCGAAUUCUUUCUCCAACUAAUAAAAAUUACGCAAAUAUGUACUAAAUCAUACCAUUAUCCCGAGAUUUAUGGGUUAACCAUUGGGGGAUUACACCUAGGCUCAUUCUAGAACUUUCUCAAGUCUUCUUCAUACGAAUUCGCGUAGGAUGAGUGAAGAAGGCUACAAAUGGGUUGGUUGUGGGUCACUGCUGGUUUAGAUCAGUUGGAUUUUUGGAAUCUUGGGUCGGGUUUUGAUAUUGGUUGCUGGGUUGUUGUCGUGAUUUAGCAGAUAUAUAUAUCUUUUGUUUUGUUAUUGAUAUCAUUGUUUUGAAAGGGGAAGAAGGGGUAUUAGAACGGGCCGAGUUAGAUAAUUUAUUUGGGCUUCUGUUUGUCAGGUCUUUGCUUGCUGAUAAGAUUAGUUGUUGUUUGCUAUAAUUUAAUUAGGGGGAAAGAGGAAAGAGUUGGGCCAAAUAGGUCAGGCAAAGUGUAAUGUGCUGGUGAUUUGGGGCUGAAAUUGUGGCUGAGUAGAGGAAAGAAAGGUUUUGGGCUGCUAGGGAUUAUCUUUUGGGCCCGAAAUCGAGUUUAAAUUUUGGGGGUUAUUUAAAACGUAACCCUCCAAUUAAAAAUUUAGAACUUAGUCAUAUUUAAAUAGUAAUUUGAUUAAAUUAAAUUUAAAUUAGUUCAUUGUAUUGUAAAUGUGACCAAUUUGAUUUCACUUGUGGUCUAAUUUAAUAAAUCAACUAAAUUAAAUAGAAAUUCGGUAUGAAUUAACACUUUAUUUAAUCCCGAUCUUUUCAACUUAAUAAAAAUUCAACAAAUAUGUUUCCAAAUAAAUUAUUCUUAAGAACAAAUUACAUUUAAAUCAAGAUUUUAAUCAUUUGAAUUUAUUUUCAAGAUAAGCCUUGGUUAAAGCCCAAUAUUUUGUAAAAUAAAUAUUUAAGUAACAAAAUUAUAAAAUUUUUGUAUAAUUGAAUACGAAAAUAUAUAAUUACUACUUAAAAUGACAAAUUUACCCAAAAAUUCUUUGAAAAGCUUUUAAUUCAGAUAAAAUAAAUGUUGUAAUUUUAUUCAAAAAUUGAAGAAACUCAAACAUAAACUUUGUUGUGGAGGGCAAAAAUUAGGUGUCAACAACUAUCCCCUCCCUUUAGGUAGGGUGGAUGCAAGUAACCCUGGACAAAGGGAGGUUGAUGUUCUUAAUUUUUGUCCGGCCACAGAUUCAAAUUUGAAAGAAAUUGGCUUUCGCACGAGUUUCAUAGAGUUAUGGCCAGACCUUGGUAUCAGAUUUCCUACAUAUCUCAGGUUACAUGAGAAUUCAGCUCGCUUGUAGUUCAUAAAGCUUGAUUCAAAGCAUGAUUUUAAAAAAAUUCAUCAGCUAUCUCGAUUUUUGGAGUUUUUGAAAGAAUUGAAAAGCUGGGAAAUAGAGUGAUUUAGGGGAGGUUGGAAUGCAUUUGAGUUUUCUACAUAGAGCCUAGCCUACAUAUCCCCAAGACUCAGGGAAUCAGACUACUUGUAGUUUGACUCAAUCGGUAGAAAAGGCGGUCUUUUAUUUUAGACGACCUUUGGCUCGGGAUGAGUGAUGAGUUGAUCGAGUUGUGGAAAAAAAAGGAUUGUAACCUCUUAACCAUGAACGUGGAGCUCUUCACAUCCAUAGGUAAGAAUUUACCUGGACAUAAUUUCCAAAACUCUAGGUAUGUUGUCACCCAAAUUUGAAAGAAAGAGAAGUUUACCCUCUGUAUGAGUUUAGAAAUAUACCGAAGGUGAAGUUGAAACCAAAAUAUCCCAAAUAACCCACAUGCCUUCUAACAGGGGUGUGGUUGGAUAGUGGUGGCGAUCAUCUUUUAGCUCUCGUCCAAAGAAUUUGAUGUCCAUCAUUAGACUAUGUCCCGUUUUGCUGCUAAGAAAGAGUUUCAUGUUAUGCUACAUCCUAUCUGGAUUUGUCCGUACCUGUGGUUUUAAUUUGAGAUUUUCAUCCUCUUGGAUGCUCUCGACAAUGUUUCAAACAAAAGUGUUAGUAUAAAACAUAAUUCACGAAAGAGGUAUGUAGUCUUUAACCAUAUCUGCGCAUGGAUUGUCACUUGAGAAGCAAAGUCAUCCUUUCGUGUACCUGUUUGGAAGGAAAUAACUUGCAACAACAGAGAUAGCAACCCUCGUAGUUUUUGUAUAAUUAUCUCAUUUGUCAGUUGAAUAUGUCUUUAAAGUGGGGUAGCCCUUUUGAACGUCGAUGAUACUUUAUGUAGAACGGUCUCUGCAUUCGUGUAAUCUCAUGUUGAUGCGGUAACCCUUUGGUCACCUACAAUGCUUUUGGAAUGAUAAGCUUUCUGGUUAUUGAUGAUAGUUCUUUGCAUAUGAUCUCAGGUAAGUCUUGCGCAUAUUUUGUAUCGAUACGACUUAUAGAUUUCCCUCAAAUUAUCAAUCUGUGGAUAAUCUUGUGUAUUAUUUGAUGUUGGAUACGAGGCAACUUAUAGAUAUCCUUUAAAUUGCUAGACCUUAUGUAAUCCCAAACAUUAUCUGACCUUGGAUAAGAGACGGCUUACAGAUAUCCCUCCAAUUGCUAGUCUUGAGGUAUUCUUACACAUCAUCCGACCUUGGAUACAAUAUGGCUUAUAGAUAUCUCUUAAAUUGGUAGUCUUUGGGUAAUCCUUCACAUAAUCGAUCUUGGAUAUAACGUGGCUUAUAGAGAACCCAUGGAUUUAUCAAUUUGAUAAUCUCACAUAUUCUCCGAUAAGGAUUUAGUUGUGACUUAUGGAUAACCUUCAAACUAUUAAUUUUUGGGUAACCUUGCAUACUAUCAGGUUAGGAUGUUGUUGCAACUUAUGGAUGACCUAUGGGCUAUCAACUCAAAGUUAAUCUUACACACUAUCCUAUUUCAAAUAAUAUGACUUAUAGAUGAUCCUCAAAUUAUCAAUUUCAAGGAAAUCUCAUAUGUCGUUCGCUUUUAGAUAGCGACUUGAAGACAUCCUUUUGAAUCAUGUGCUUUUAUGUAUUCAGGUGCUGAUUCAUAACAUGAUUUGAUAUUCUCAAUGUCAGCAUAUGCUAUCUCACAUAUUAAUAGAUUUUAAAUGCUGAUGAUAUCCUCGAGCUAGAGUAUGAUAUCUCAUGUGUUAUCAGAUAUUUAAUGCAAAUAAUACCCUUGAUGCCAGCAUAUGGUAUCUCAUACGUCAUCAAAUAUUUAAUAUAGAUGGUACCCUCGACGCCAUCAUAUGAUAUCUUGCGCGUCAUCAGAUAUUUAAUGUAGAUGGUACCCUCGACGUCAGCGUAUGAUAUCUCACACGUCAUCAGAUAUUUAAUACAGAUGAUACCCUCGACGCCAGCAUAUGAUAUCUCGCACGUCAUCAGAUAUUUAAUGCAGAUGAUACCCUCGAUGCCAGCGUAUGAUAUCUCACGCGUCAUAAGAUAUUUAAUACAGAUGAUACCAUCUAUGCCAGUAUAUGAUAUCUCAUGCAUCAUCAGAUAGUUAAUGUAAAUAAUACCCUAGAUGCUAGUGUAUGAUAUCUCGUGCAUCUUUAGAUAUUUAAUGUAGAUGAUAUCCUCAACACCAACAUAUGAUAUCUUAAGUAUCAAUAGAUUUUAGAUAAUGAUGAUAUCCUCGACACUAGCAUAUGAUAUCUCGCGUGUCAACAUAUAUCAGAUGAUGAUAUCCUCGAUGCCAUUAUAUGAUAUCUCACGUGUCAACAGAUAUUAAUGAUGAUAUCCUCGAUGCCAGCGUAUGAUAUCUCGCAUAUAAACAAAUAUUAGAUGAUGAUAUCCUCAAUGCCAGUGUAUAAAUCUCACGUGUCAAUAGAUAUUGAUACAAUGUCCCUCUCAGCAAUGAGAUGGUAUGAAAUGGUUCUUCCGGUGAUUUGAAAAUAGUUUCACCUGAGUUCGUUUGUCUGCGUCUUGCUUUCUACAUAUACCUGUACUCAUGGUAGACAAUUAGUAGACAGAAUGUCGCACUCACUGGCGACUAAAGUCAAACUUUAUGAUAGUUUAAUGACAAAUACUGAGCAUCAUAAUUUGAAUGUCUUAUUCUUCUAUUAAUCUUCUCUUUUUGAAGAAAUGAUUAAAUAGAAAAUCCACCGGAUGCAAGUGAAUGGCCAAAACCCUUGUUUGUGGAUUACUCAAAUACCGUUGCUUCGCUUCAAGAAAAAUUUUGAGGAUAACUUUCCUCCUAUUGAGUGAUCCUUUGAUUGUUGUAUUUAUUGUGCCAACUCCCUUGAAUGUUCCUGUGCUCAAUGUGAAUAUUUAGUAGGCACAAAGUCGCUUUUGCUAGCGACUAUUUUUUAGAAAAAUUCUAAAUACAAUAUUCAUAAAGAAGAUAAGACGCCUUUGUUUGCCCUUCAUGAUCUCAAGAAAUGAGAUAGACAAUUCAAAAGGUCUUCUAUAAAUGGGUAUUAAACCCAUUUUUGGGUUUACCUCAAAAUAUCAUUCUUGAGCAUUUUAUGCUCUGGUAUGGCUCCCAACUUGCUUGGGGAUUUUUGAAAGAGACUUUUAUUUUUGUAUAUUGAUCCCUGCAUCCACAAAAAAAUGAUUAGUUUGAGUGAAACUACUCCAUGUUGACCUCCUUCACUCCUCGCCAUCUUUCAGGUGUUCCGUCAUGUUGGUACCCCCACUCCAGCUCGUUGCUCCAAUAGACGUCUAGGCAAUCACUAAGUAAAAGAUUUGUAUAGAUUUUUGAAAAUAGACUUAAUUUUAGAAGAUAGUUUCGAAAGUUUCUAAAAAAGCUUUAGAAAAUCUUUGCCUGCCAUGUCAUGUACUAGCUCAACAAAAGUCCUUCUCUUGGUUUUGACUAUAUCCAGUGUAGGAUUUCCAAAACUCAUCAUCAUUAUUGGAGGGUUCUUCAAAUAGUUCGGUCAUAGCUAGAAAUUGAGUCUUCCUAGGCUUUAUCAUAGCUGGUGACUUCAAAAGUUUGACUUUGACCUCUUGUGCUGGGAAAUUUGAAAUAUAUUCCAGCGUUUGGUGGAAAUUUUGAGGCCUUCCUCAAAAUUUCUGUCCUAAUUUAAAGUUGUUUGAUAUGAUAUCAACUUGAGAGGAUCUAAAGUCUUUGUUGGUUCUUGCUCUCUUUGUUGCAUGAAGGUCUUCAUCAUCAUGAAUUUUUGAGAUUCUUUUUAAAAAAUUUUGCCCCAGUUUCCAUUUCCCGGAGUUAUAUGACUGAGCCAUUGGGGAGCCUACGUAUCCCGUUGAAUAAGGAAUUAGGUCAAACAUAGUUUAGGACUAUGUUAAGGAUAUAUAGAAAAAUCCAAUGGGUUGACUUAAGCUGACAUAGGCCGCCUACGUAUUCCUUUAUUGGGAAUUCAGGUCAAACAUAGUUUGUACAUGAAAGGAAAUGAUAAAUUUUCCUAAGGGGUUGACCGAAGUUGACAUAGGUUUCCUACGUAUCCCUUUCUUAGGAAUUCAGGUCAAACGUUGUUCGUACAUAAAAGGAAAGGGAUUCUAGGUAAUUACGCAUCGUAAAACAAAUAUUAUCAUAAAGGCAAUUACAAAUAAGCCAAGGAAACAAAAACUAAAAUAUCUUUCAAACAUAGUAUCUCUUUACCGCAUCAGAAUUGAUUGGUUUAGUCCACUCUUGCCCAUCCAUCUAAGGUAGGAUUAGGGCUCCUCCAGGUUGGGCUUCUUUCAGUUUUCAAAUUCCUCUAUAUCUUUCAUUAACUGCUCCUCAUCACCUUUUUUCCAUUCAUCAUCAUUCUCUUUGCUUUGUUUAUCUAUCCUUUUUCAUGACAUAACAUUGGCAGAUUUUUAAAUUAUUGCUACCAAAAUAAACCAUGUUAGAUUAUAACAAGAUAAUAAAAGAUGAUAAUAUAAUCAUAUUUAAAAAUAACUUCUUAAAUAAAGGUAGGCCUUUUGGAAAAUAAAUAAAAACUCUGGCUCAUGACCCGCGUAAAUGUGGGCCCAUGCCUUUUUGAAAUCUGUAAAACACAAAAUGAAAAUUUGAGACAUAAAAGGGUGGAUCACGGGGCCUCCUCCGGAUCAUCACCAAUUUUUAAAACUAUUAGUAAUUGCCAUUUCAUCUACUACGACAGGCAACGAAUUAGGAGCAGAGUGGAAGUCCACUUUUGCAAAGCCUCUUCUGGUGCAACCUUCUUUACCCCACUGGACUUCGGAAAAUCUUCUAGUAUAGCAUUGUAUCCCUCAAAUAGAUUUGCUAUCCCAUCCCUAAGACCAUCAUCAUUUGACAUCUCACGCACGGGAAAUGAUUGGUGCAGGAGUGAUGACGGUAUGGAUAGACUCAUCUUUGAAUUAUAUUCAAUCUCAUCUUCCUUUCUUGGUUGGUACACUAUUCCACGCUUAAAUACUUUUUUCGAGAUCAUAAUGGACUCAAUAAUUCCUUACAAAUUCUUACUCAAGGCGGCCACAAACUUUCUCUAUCUUUUCCACCCCUUUCUUUUUGGAAUUUUGAAAUUUCACUUUAGUAAUAGUCUUGUCGGAUACCCAUUCACCUGUUAUUUAGGUCAUGCUAACCGUGGUUCCCUCAUGAUUGGGCAAUGGAUUACUGGUGACAUUUGGUUUUGGCGCUUAAAGAGUGAUGAUCUUCUGGUCAUUCAAGUCUUGGAUCUUGUGUUUCAGAUUGAUGCAAUCUUCAGUAUUAUGCCCAGGCGCUCUUGAAUGAUAAGCACAAAAUUGAUCAGCCUGAAAGAAUUGGAAAUUUAAAUUGACAGGCUUUGGUGGGUAGGUUGUAAGUAACCAACUUUCAUCAAUCUUCCAAAGAGUUAGGUACGAAUUUCAACUAAUAAAGUGAAUUUUCUAGGAGGCUUCUUUUUUAGGCUUAUACAUGGGGGGUUAUACUGAUUUUUAUUAGCAGGAGGAGGUACCUGAUGAUAGUUUGGAGGUGCUUGGAUGUUUAUUUGGUUGUUUGGAAGAGUAGCUUGAACAUGAGACUGAUAAUUUGGUUGCAAAACUUGACACUGGGUAAAAUAUUUAGAAGUGGAGCUUGAUAUUGGGGUUGGGCGUAGAAUACAUGCUGAAAACUUAGUGAUGGUGGUGAGGAAAGAAUAUUCCUAGGCUUGAAUUUUAUCUUUAAUUUAUCAACGGAAUUAGUAGAGACCGCAGUGACAUCCUCUCUUUUCUUCUUUAGAAAUAUGGAAGACCUAGAUGAUGUUGGGGUUUUGACAAUCUUUCCUGUCCGAAUGCCUUCAUCUAGCGAUUCUCUGAUUUUUACCAAAUCUAUGAAAGUUUCUCAUACUGCGGAUACCAUCCUGGUAUAAAAUUCUCCCUAAUGUGUGCGAGAGAAAACCGAUACCAUUUCUUUCUAGUAAAUGGGAGGUUGUACUUUAGCAGCUUCCUUUUUCCAAUGAAAGGCAUAGUCUUAAAACACUUGUCAUUCUUCUGCUUGAUCCGGUCUAAUGAGUAUCGGUCAGGGACUAUUUCGAUGUUAAAUGCAAACGUAUCAAGGAAACCUUUAGCCAAUGCCCUCCAACUAGUCUAUCUUUAUAGUUCUUGUGACAUAAACCAAUCUAAGGCUUCGCCGCUUAAGCUCCAGCUGAACAGACGCACCAAUAAUGUCUCAUUUUUUCCUACCCCCACCAUUUGAUCACAAUACCUUCUCAGAUAGGCCGUUGAAUUUCCAAUACUACCGAACACUUCAAAUUUAGGGACCUUGUAUCCUUCUGGUAGAUCUACUCCAGGGUGAACACAUAGAUCAUUGUAACCUAGGCCAUCAUUUUCCUUCGUCCCAUGAGAUUCCUUGAUCCUUAUAAUAUCUUCAUUCAGAACUAAUAAAUUUAUUUCAUGCUCGGUCCUUCACUCUUUCUUAUUCUCCUCGUAAUGGUUUAUCUCGAGAUUAGAAAGGAAAUUGUAGAUGUCAGGGGCUAUGAUGACGUGCAGAGGAUUUGGAAAGGUAGCUUGAUUUUGAGGAUGAAAGGAAGUUUGUUUGUAGGUGGGGAGGACGUUUUGGAAAUUGGAAAAGUUUUGUGGAAUUUGAGAGUAGUUUGGUGGGAUCUGAGAGGGAUUUUGCGGAUUUGAAAAUGAAUUUUAUGGAUUCGGAGAUAGAUUUGGCAGAAGGUAGAUUUGGGAUAGAUUUUGUAGAUUUGGGAGCUAAUUUUAUGGAUUUGGAAGCGGGUUUUGUGGGUUUGAAAAUGGGUUCUUGAGAUUUGGGAAUGAAUUUUGUGGAUGGUAAGCAUAUAGGUUAUUUUCUCAAUUAGUGUUUUAGACUAAUUGAGGAUCGGAUAUAGAUGAUAUGUUAUUUGGAUGGUCCCAGAGAAUAGGAAUACUGAGGGGAGGGAUUUGAAGUGGAAUCCUGUGUCCUUUUGGACAGAGAGCAUUGAUAGUGAUGGCCAGAUUAGCUAAAUCUCGAGUAUGGUUCAUCUCCUCCUAAAGCAUUUUCAAUUUUCUCGCAAGUUCAACAAUCAUCUCGCUUUAUUCCGCUAUCAUAUUAUGCCUGAUGGCAAAUGCACUUUCCUCAUCACUUACAGUUAUGUUUGAAUGAUGGUUAGGGGAUGAGAUCUUAUGUGCUUUUGACAGGGUGAAAUUAGGAUGUUCUGCCAGGUUAUUUCAAUACGGAGUAGUUUUUGAUUAUCUGUAAAGUAAAAUAACUCAAAGCCAGAUGUGUUAGUUUCCGUAUAUGAUAAGUAAUGCAAGAUACUUUGGCAAGAAGUAACCACGUAGAGUUGUUUGCGUCAUAGUCAAAUUGAUUUAUAGAAUCAUAGUGAAUAAAUUUGUCUUUGAUUCAAACAAACGCACAUAAACACAUAAGACAGUUAUAUCGCGUUAAAACAUUAUAAUAACACGUAUCCUAACUGGGGUGACCCUUUUGAACCAAGAGUUUAGGUCUAACGAAUUUUGAAGAAAAUAUACGUCUUUUUAAAGCCAAUCCAUUAUCCCCCAAUUUCACAGAUAUACAUAAAUGCCUACAAAAGUUGCACAAAAGGGAUACAACCUUUAGGGAUAUAGAAAUAACAUGAGAAAAAGAAUGUUGUCCCGCGUAGGGGAUAAAAAAUACUAAUUCCUGAAUGCUUGUUCUAUCGGCCUUCACCUUCUUAGCUUUGUCCACUUCUUGUCAUUGGCGACAUCCAUUGGCGAUCAAGCAAUUUUUGAAUAGCUGUACCUUAGAUGUAACCACCCAAAUCGAUCAAUUUCUUGCUUGACUUGCUUUAAUUGCUGUGUGAUUGAGGCAUCCUUACACGAAAGUAAGCAAAGAAAGCCUUCUCCCGACCCCAAAAGGAUAAUGGAUUGGAUUAAAUAAACAUAUAUUUCUUCAACACAUAACAUGAUUCGUCUGUCAUUGACUCGGGGUCAAUAGAUGCAGGACAAGUUUUCUAAUUGGCCCAAUACCCUGGGUCUUCCUAGGUUUAUGCCUAAAAGAGGGUUUUGGUUUAUAUCUAUCCUAAGUGUCUAGAGUGAGUAUGGACAGCUUCACAAGCGGACAACUUGAGUUUGGAAACACGAACAGCCUCCGACCGCCUAACAUGUCGGUAAACUGCCGUGUUUCUAAUAUUUUAUUUGGAAUUAAAUAAUAGGGGAUGGGAUAUCCAUGAAACCCCAAAAUAAUAUAAUAAUCAAUGCAGGAACAUUCCAUGAAAUGCAAUAAUUAAAUACCAUAAAAAUCGAAACACAUAAGCAUUUUAAACAAUUAGUCGAAUGAUGAAAUCAAACAUUUGGUUAGAACCUAGUAACAUAUCACCACCAGAGUUGCCAUUUUUGUUUUGCAGAAAUUUUGACUUUCAGAGUCGCAACUUAAUUUUGAAAAGGAAUUACGAAACCUUUAUAAAUUACUUUAAACGAUCCAAAAUAGAAAAAUUAUUUAAAUUUGAAGAUUCUGAGUAAGCGGUUCCUAUUAAUAUUUUAGGAAGGUUUUAGGAACCUAAAAUGUACGCUAACUUGCAGUUAUCCAAACUGUUUGAAAACAUCUUUUGACUAACUACAAAAAAAGAUCGUUUCAUUAAAAAAAACGUGAUUGGUUUUAGAGAAAGACUUGAUGUUUAUGCAAAAUCAGCGUUUUAGCGACUUAGUUAGGGGACUUUCUUUAACUAAGUCUAAGCAAAUAAAAUAGCAGAUAACACAUAAAAAAGGAGAGGGGUAAGAAAGUAAGAGAUUUAGACCAUUAGACCCAAAACAACGAACCAUGUCCUCUCUAAUUGGGCUUUCGACCCAUUUCACCUAUCCUAAUCUAGAUUUCGAGCGUUUGACUCUAGUUUUGCUCUACCUGUAUUAAAUUUACAACUUUGGCAUUUGUGGUCUGAAUGAAUGAAUAAAUAAAUAAAGACAACAAUAAGAAAAUAAUAAUAAUAAUAAUAAAUGAGACUUUUGAGUCUCUUCGCUGCUUCAAAUAUGGGACUUCAAUCCAUUUCUUCUUCUUUCGACUCCUUGCAUUUACAUUCCACGUAACUCAUUUUGGACUUUCUUUCGGGGCUUGACUCNNNNNNNNNNNNNNNNNNNNNNNNNNNCAUGCAAAGGAAAAAUGAAAAAAAAAAAUUAAUACUCAUUCAACCAAUCACACUGAGAUAUAAAUUAUUGACAAAUUUGGAAGCGAAACACAUACUAACCAAGGAGAUUCUUAAAUUAAAAGGAAAUGAGUCAAUAUUAAUUCGAAAUUGGCUACUCAAACUAGCUAUUAAACACUAAAAACAACUAAUGAAAAAAGAAAGACAUGCAUAACUUGGGAUUUGCUCCCACUUAAAUCAUUUUUUUAAAAUAGUAAAUCAGAAAGUCAAAAUCUUUUUAUUGUGGUUCAAAGCGUUGAAAUUGUUAGAACAUAAUCCCCAUUUAGAGUUGUUUCCGAAAGACCCAAUUCAUUCAAUCAUCAAGGAGGCUAAACUAGUUAUCAAGGCCUAUUAUUUACACUAGGAGAUUAGGCAUCCUUUUUAAAGAACUCAAACAAAAUAGGGAACUAACCGAACAAACAAAAUGACUAAAGGGAAAUGUAAGAAUGUAGCCAUGGUUUGUUCGAUAAAAUUAGAAAGACCCGCAAAAUACUAUUAAGACUCAUUAUCUACACAAUGAUUCAACCUCCAGCUUAACCAUUUUCUUUAAAAAGAAGGAAUACAUGGAGGAAAAUAGGAGAAAGAGUAAACUGGGAAUACAUAAAGCAGAUAAAGAAAAUAAUUUGGAAAUGGCAACAAUUUGAAUGAAAUCAAAACAGAAAACAAAAUUCCCAACGAUGUAUUCCACCUAAACAAAGAACGGGAAUAUCGACACUUCUCCUUACUCUAUAUUCUCUUAAAUAAGAACAUGAUCAACAAGCAAAAAUCAUAUGUAUACCACAACACAGAAUUUCUCGAAAGAAAUGGCCAGCUAAACUACUCAGCAGGAUGAUAAUCAAUUAGGAAAACAAAAAAUACUAGCAAACCACCAAAUAAGACAAUUAAGCUUUUUGCAAAACAAUGUUCAUUGGGACCUUAACAUCGCUCAUCACAAAAACAUCAAAUUCUAAUUAUUUUUCCAAAAUCUCAUACAAAAUACCAAACUUGAGAAAAAGAUUUUUACAGGCUCUCAUUUUUCAGGUGGAAGCAGAAAGUGCAUCGGGGCUUAUUACAAAUUCUUUUUGCAUAAGAGGAAGGGUCAAACAAAAGUACCUACUAUAACUUUCAAGUAUAAACAAUCAAGUUUAAACCUAGUGGGUACCUUGUAGUAGAAUCUUGUCCUUUUUACCAAUCAUUUACAGAAAUAAAAUGACUCAGUAACCCUUUUUUAAAAUAGGAUAUUAGCAAAAUUUUUAGGCCAACAGCUCAUCAUACAAGCAAAACAACAUACACAAAGCCGAAUUCAAAGGAAAUUUUCAUCAAACAUCAUAUAAACAAGAGACAAGUGUGUUCCCAGGUGAAUUAUAUAAAAAAAUCAGAAGUUUCAAAAAUUGGAGUGUCCUAAAUGCAAAAACAACAAAAAGUCUAAAAGCUCACAAUUUAUCAUGUGAAACCUAGGGUUUUCAUAGACUCCACAACGAGCAACUCUCACCACUCAAGAUUAUAAAACUACAACUACGAACAAGGCAACAAGAGGAUUAAAAUUGUUAAGUGAGAAUCAAAAUAUGAUCUCUAACCAUGAACCAGUAAUUCAAACCUUAGACAGUCCACAAGAUGAUAUAUUAGGUCAAAAAUUAAUCAGUAAUGUCAAGAGUAGAUAACUAAUUACGAAAUCGAGAUAUAAAGACGACGAAAACCAUAUGUCAUACCAUUAGCAUAGGAAUUCAUCCUAAUGUAGCACUACAACCAACACUGUCUUUCACUAAAAUGGCAACCUAUGGUCUUGAAGACCUCUACAACAGACAACCCGACACACAAGUUCUUCGAAAUAAUAGUUAUGACUAUAGAAUGAAGAGAUGGAGUAGAAUACAAUAGAAAUUAAAGAAAAAUAGAAUGUUACCUAUGGGAGUACCAAAACAGAACCUCGAGCAAACGUCGGACUCGCAACCACCGAAAAAUGUCUUCACCAUUAACUCGAAGCUCUAAUUUAGCCGACAAACUUGUGAAAAAGCAAAAUUUCUACUAAAGAUUGGUUUUUCUCUAAGAGUUUCUUUCUUUUUCUUUUUCUCCCUUAGUUUUUUCUGAACCAAAAUCUUCAACCCUUAAGAAGCUUCACUGUGGGCUCUUAUAUAGAGGACCCCUUGAUUAAGACCAAAUUUUGAGGGUAAAAAAUGGGAUAUUUUUGAAAUGCAAAAUUCCCAUCCCCCUCUGUGGUUUUCAUCCCUAAAUUUAUACAAAUUUUUGAAUUUUCCUUAAAUAAUUCAGGAUGUGUGGACCAAUAAAAAUUGAGGAAAACCAAAUCCUUUCUCCGACCAAUAAAAAUCGCCUAAAUAUGUACUAAAUCGUACCAUUAUCUCCAGAUUUAUGGGUUAGCCAUUGGGGGAUGACACCUAGGCUCGUUGUAGAAUGUUCUUGAGUCCUCUUUGUAUGAAUUUGCGUAGGACGUGUGAAGAAGGCUACAAAUGGGUUGGUUGCGGGUCGCUGUUGGUUUGGAUGGGUUGGAUUUUGGGAUCUCAAGUUGGGUUUUCGAUGUUGGUCGCUGGGUUGUUGUCGUGAUUUGGUAGAUGUGUGUGUAUCUUUUGUUUUGUUGUUGAUAUUGUUUUUUUGGAAGGGGAAGAAGGGGUAUUAGAACGAGCUGGGUCAGCUGAUUUGUUUAGGAUUGUUGUUUGAUAUUAUUUAAUUAGGGGAAAA